Diospyros lotus (date-plum) is the source of this 2122-nucleotide RNA transcript. RefSeq lists it as uncharacterized. Lineage: Eukaryota; Viridiplantae; Streptophyta; Magnoliopsida; Ericales; Ebenaceae. The transcript is spliced from 5 exons. The record is from RefSeq and is a predicted model, not a curated record.
AGGAAACAUGUUUCCAUCCGUGUCCGUUGCCGAAGACUCGCAGUCGACUAUUUUCUCUCGAUUUCACUUCUAUCGAAGAAGCCGCCAUUUGUCAGUGUCGCUUUGCCUCGAAGCCACCUUCUUCCUCGUCGCCCUGAAAGAUGGUAAUUGGCAGAGUCCUGAGAAGCCCGACUCGCCUCAAGGACCUCUGCCUAAUCCUCUCCUCUCUUUUCAUCUUCUACCUCCUCCUCCACCACCACCCCCCUCCGCCGCCGCCCACCACCCUCCCCUACUCCGCCACCACCUCCCCAACCUCUCUCCGCCACCUCCUCUUCUCCAUCGCCGCCUCCUCCCGCUCGUUCCCCGCCCGCUGCCCCUACCUCCGCCUCUGGCACCGCCCGAACUCCACCCGUACCGUCGUCUUCCUCGACCGCCCAAUCUCGCUCUCCCCCUCCCCGUCCGACACCCCCGUCCUCCUCUCCGCCCCCUUCCCCGGCGGCCCCGCCGCCCGCAUCGCCCGUGUCGUCAAGGAGACCGUCCUCCUCAACCAGUCCGACGUCCGCUGGUUCGUCUUCGGCGACGACGACACUGUGUUUUUCACCGCUAAUUUGGUCCGGACGCUCUCCAGAUACGAUCACGAUCAGUGGUACUAUGUGGGGAGUUGGUCGGAGAGUUAUGGCCAGAACUUGAGGCACUCGUUUGAGAUGGCGUAUGGGGGCGGAGGCUUCGCCAUCAGCCACUCUCUGGCUAGGGUUUUGGCCGGAGUUUUGGACUCGUGUCUGAUUAGAUACGCCCAUUUGUACGGAAGCGAUGCUAGGGUUUUCUCUUGCUUGGCGGAGCUUGGCGUGGGUUUGACUCAUGAACCUGGCUUUCAUCAGGUUGAUAUUCGAGGAGAUAUUUUUGGACUGCUUUCAGCACAUCCACUUUCACCUUUGUUGUCUCUACAUCAUUUUGAAGCCCUGGAGCCAAUCUUUCCUAACAUGACCAGGAAUCAAGCUUUUGAGCAUCUCUUCAAAGCUGUGAAUGUUGAUCCUGGUAGAAUAUUGCAGCAAACUGUCUGUUAUGACCCUUUAAACAUUUUAACUGUUUCAGUUGCUUGGGGUUAUGCCAUUCAGGUCUUUGAAGGCAAUUAUCUCCUUCCAGAACUUCUUCAGUUGCAGAACACUUUUAGGCCAUGGAGAAGAAAGAGGGAUAUUAUCUCAAACCUUUAUAUGUUUAAUUCAAGAGAGUACCCAAAUGACCCGUGCAAAAGACCUCUUGUGUUUUUUAUGGAAACUGUUGCUUCUGAUUCUAAAAAAGUCUGGACUGACUACACCAGGCACAUAAUUGGAAAUUGUUCAAGAUCCCCGGAACUGCUUAAUUUGGAAAAUAUCAAAGUGUUCUCACAAAAACCAGAUUUUGAAUAUGGAGAGGUAAAGGUUCUCCGUCGUCAAUGCUGUGAUAUUUUACCAUCUUUUAGUCGAACGAUGGUAAUUAGUAUCAGACAAUGUGGAGUUGGUGAACUGAUUUCAAUGCAGACAUAGAAACUCCUGGAACUGCUGUUUCCAAGAUUGUUAUACAAGUUUAUAUGGAACUUGGAGUCGGUUGCAUUUUAGUCUCUUGACAGAUAUUCUCUAACAUGAGUUAUUUGGUGAGCUUGAUUGGCAUGGAUGAAGAUAGUUAAGAAUCGAUGGGAUGAAGGAUCCAGAGAACUUCUCUUGCAGUUGUUUCUCGAUCAGCAGAAGUGGGUUUUUUUCUUUGAUCACAGUUCCAAAAGCCUUACUAUCUCUUUAUUCCAUUGAUGAAUUCAAAGAAUGUUGUUAUUGUCGUUGAUUGAUUGAGGAAUUUGAAGUAUGGAUAAACACAAAAAGCUUCGAUCCCAUCUCAGCAAGCAGCCGAUAACUUCUAACACAAAGUACAAAGGAUUUGGUGUCGAGUGUAAACAGUUUGUGGCGGCAUGCACUCAUUUUCUCUUAGAUUUAAAUUUUUUUAGAACAGAUGCUGAGCUGAAUAACCUUGUAAAUUUAGUCUGUAAUGAUAAACAAGGACCGGUUUUGCUGCAGGAUUCUUAAGUCAACAUGGAUUCUCAAUGUGUUGCUUCCAUGUCUCUUGCUGUAAGAUUUUCAAAGAAAUACAUGGAUUGGCCGGAGUAUGCCUUUAUGCU